GGGGCUGAUUUUGGUUUCGACUCCGUACAUGAAGCCAGGGGAAGCGUGCCGGUGCAGGCUAGAGACCACCGUUAAGCGUCGUAGCAACCAAUUAAGCGCCGAGAACUCUCAGCGCGACUACGCCCUCGCUGCCUAAUACAGCGACCGCGUGUCUGUCGAACCCAUACCCGUCCCUGGUGUGGAGUUCGGCAUCGACUUCAAGGGACUUGCUGCCAGCUCGCGUUAGCGGGGGCUGGCGGGACUUCUUACCGCUAACUGGGCUCAUCAUCCGAACGUGUUCGUCCGAGUCGGAGGGCCGAGUAGAGAUCGUUGCGCGAACUGCGCACGGAGAAGCCCUGGCAACGUGACGUAGGACCCGGGUUCAAUUCCCGGCAGCUCCACGA
RNAcentral lists this transfer-messenger RNA (383 nucleotides) under Corynebacterium aquilae. RNAcentral describes it as "Standard tmRNA". It matches the Rfam family "transfer-messenger RNA". Rfam says of the family: Bacterial tmRNA, also known as 10Sa RNA or SsrA, is named for its dual tRNA and mRNA-like properties. Its role is to liberate the mRNA from a stalled ribosome. To accomplish this part of the tmRNA is used as a reading frame that ends in a translation stop signal. Lineage: Bacteria; Bacillati; Actinomycetota; Actinomycetes; Mycobacteriales; Corynebacteriaceae. The record is from RNAcentral. RNAcentral also lists the same sequence under 1 other name.